Molecule: ribosomal RNA, 451 nt
Filed under: uncultured bacterium
Lineage: Bacteria
Description: bacterial SSU rRNA
Rfam family: Bacterial small subunit ribosomal RNA
Source: RNAcentral
CAGUGGGGAAUAUUGCACAAUGGGCGCAAGCCUGAUGCAGCCAUGCCGCGUGUAUUGAAGAAGGCCUUCGGGUUGUAAAGUACUUUCAGCAGUGAGGAAGGUGGGUAUGUUAAUAGCAUAUUCAUUUGACGUUAGCUGCAGAAGAAGCACCGGCUAACUCCGUGCCAGCAGCCGCGGUAAUACGGAGGGUGCGAGCGUUAAUCGGAAUUACUGGGCGUAAAGCGCAUGCAGGUGGUUUGUUAAGUCAGAUGUGAAAGCCCCGGGGCUCAACCUCGGAAUUGCAUUUGAAACUGGCAAACUAGAGUACUGUAGAGGGGGUAGAAUUUCAGGUGUAGCGGUGAAAAUGCGUAGAGAUCUGAAGGAAUACCGGUGGCGAAGGCGGCCCCCUGGACAGAUACUGACACUCAGAUGCGAAAGCGUGGGGAGCAAACAGGAUUAGAUACCCUGGUAG